Non-coding RNA from Cavia aperea (Brazilian guinea pig), 382 nucleotides. Lineage: Eukaryota; Metazoa; Chordata; Mammalia; Rodentia; Caviidae. The record is from Ensembl.
AUAUUUUGAGGGGAGAGCAGCCGAGCACAGGACGCCAGCGAGCAGAGCGCACGGUGGACCGAUGCAUGUGGGUCGAUUAUAUGAAUCAACUUGCGAGCAGCCCUUGAGGCUCCCAGGUCUGCGAGCCUCCUGGCUAUACCUGCGUUCUAUUUGAUCAGGGCUAACCCUUGCCCUGCUUUGUUGCUCUGAAAUGAAAAGCUCCCCUCCUGAGAGCCCCGACAUCCUCAGGGCGUUGUGUGGCUAGACUGAGUGGGGGUAGGCUGAGCUCUAGGUUGCUGAGCAGGUCCUGUUGGCCCAGUGGUCAAAAGUACUGUGACUCCAUCAGAUAGACCAGGCCGGGCCUGCCUCCGGGUUGCUGAUUAUCUGGGCGAUUCUGAUCCUA